AAUUAUUUAACUUAUUUAAAGUAUAUGAUUUGAAAUCAGAAUAAAGAAUUAAUAUUCUAAUAAUUU
RNAcentral lists this transfer RNA (66 nucleotides) under Philotrypesis pilosa. RNAcentral's name for it is "tRNA-Ser". Lineage: Eukaryota; Metazoa; Arthropoda; Insecta; Hymenoptera; Pteromalidae. The record is from RNAcentral.